This 253-nucleotide ribosomal RNA is filed under the name uncultured bacterium. RNAcentral describes it as "partial 16S ribosomal RNA". It matches the Rfam family "Bacterial small subunit ribosomal RNA", at positions 524 to 776 of the family's 1533-position model. The record is from RNAcentral.
UACAGAGGGUGCGAGCGUUAAUCGGAAUGACUGGGCGUAAAGGGCGCGUAGGUGGAUAAUUGUGUUGGAUGUGAAAGCCCCGGGCUUAACCUGGGAAUUGCAUACAAAACUGGUUAUCUAGAGUGGAGCAGAGGUGAGUGGAAUUUCCGGAGUAGCGGUGAAAUGCGUAGAUACCGGAAGGAACACCAGUGGCGAAGGCGACUCACUGGGCUCAAACUGACACUGAGGCGCGAAAGCGUGGGGAGCAAACAGG